AGAGUUUGAUCCUGGCUCAGAACGAACGCUGGCGGCAGGCUUAACACAUGCAAGUCGAACGCCCCGCAAGGGGAGUGGCAGACGGGUGAGUAACGCGUGGGAAUCUACCGUACCCUACGGAAUAACGCAUGGAAACGUGUGCUAAUACCGUAUACGCCCUUCGGGGGAAAGAUUUAUCGGGGUACGAUGAGCCCGCGUUGGAUUAGCUAGUUGGUGGGGUAAAGGCCUACCAAGGCGACGAUCCAUAGCUGGUCUGAGAGGAUGAUCAGCCACAUUGGGACUGAGACACGGCCCAAACUCCUACGGGAGGCAGCAGUGGGGAAUAUUGGACAAUGGGCCCAAGCCUGAUCCAGCCAUGCCGCGUGAGUGAUGAAGGUCUUAGGAUUGUAAAGCUCUUUCACCGAUGAAGAUAAUGACGGUAGUCGGAGAAGAAGCCCCGGCUAACUUCGUGCCAGCAGCCGCGGUAAUACGAAGGGGGCUAGCGUUGUUCGGAAUUACUGGGCGUAAAGCGCACGUAGGCGGAUAUUUAAGUCAGGGGUGAAAUCCCGCAGCUCAACUGCGGAACUGCCUUUGAUACUGGGUAUCUCGAGUAUGGAAGAGGUGAGUGGAAUUCCGAGUGUAGAGGUGAAAUUCGUAGAUAUUCGGAGGAACACCAGUGGCGAAGGCGGCUCACUGGUCCAUUACUGACGCUGAGGUGCGA
This 700-nucleotide ribosomal RNA is filed under the name uncultured bacterium. RNAcentral's name for it is "bacterial SSU rRNA". It matches the Rfam family "Bacterial small subunit ribosomal RNA", at positions 8 to 756 of the family's 1533-position model. The record is from RNAcentral.